GUCGGUGGUCUCCGGGUGGAAGAUCGAGGGCAGCCCGAGGCGGCUCAUGGCACAGCGCCAGUGGUUGAUGUUAUCUGUGUGCCGGAAGUGCAGCCCACUCAUCCUGUAGCGCGUCUGCUGAGGGUCGUAGAUCCUCGCGGGGGGGACGGCGUCAGGGGCGAAGCGGUGUCCCAGCCUGGCCAGCAGCACGCCAUUGCGCAGGUUCUCCUCCAGCUCCGUGGGGGGGGGCAGCUCCUCACCCAGGCAGGCCUCCAUCCAGCGCUUGGCCUCCUCCAGGCGGCACAGGUAUUGGUAGGCGACGUUCUGCCGCCGCUGCUCGUCCAUCUGCUCCGCGCUGGGCCGCUCCCAUUGCAGCCGCUCCGCUCCGUCCAUGGCCGC
This 378-nucleotide long non-coding RNA is filed under the name Gallus gallus (chicken). Lineage: Eukaryota; Metazoa; Chordata; Aves; Galliformes; Phasianidae. The record is from RNAcentral.